AUUGAACGCUAGCGGGAUGCUUUACACAUGCAAGUCGAACGGCAGCGCGGACUUCGGUCUGGCGGCGAGUGGCGAACGGGUGAGUAAUGUAUCGGAACGUGCCCAGUAGCGGGGGAUGACUACGCGAAAGCGUAGCUAAUACCGCAUACGCCCUACGGGGGAAAGCAGGGGAUCGUAAGACCUUGCACUAUUGGAGCGGCCGAUAUCGGAUUAGCUAGUUGGUGAGGUAACGGCUCACCAAGGCGACGAUCCGUAGCUGGUUUGAGAGGACGACCGGCCACACGGGGACUGAGACACGGCCCAGACUCCUACGGGAGGCAGCAGUGGGGAAUUUUGGACAAUGGGGGCAACCCUGAUCCAGCCAUCCCGCGUGUGCGAUGAAGGCCUUCGGGUUGUAAAGCACUUUUGGCAGGAAAGAAACGUCGCGGGCUAAGACCCCGUGGAACUGACGGUACCUGCAGAAUAAGCACCGGCUAACUACGUG
RNAcentral lists this ribosomal RNA (484 nucleotides) under uncultured bacterium. Its description in RNAcentral is "partial 16S ribosomal RNA". It matches the Rfam family "Bacterial small subunit ribosomal RNA", at positions 29 to 507 of the family's 1533-position model. The record is from RNAcentral.